AGAGCGAACGCUGGCGGCAGGCUUAACACAUGCAAGUCGAGCGGGCGUAGCAAUACGUCAGCGGCAGACGGGUGAGUAACGCGUGGGAACGUACCUUUGGUUCGGAACAACCCAGGGAAACUUGGGCUAAUACCGGAUAAGCCCUUACGGGGAAAGAUUUAUCGCCGAAAGAUCGGCCCGCGUCUGAUUAGCUAGUUGGUGAGGUAAUGGCUCACCAAGGCGACGAUCAGUAGCUGGUCUGAGAGGAUGAUCAGCCACAUUGGGACUGAGACACGGCCCAAACUCCUACGGGAGGCAGCAGUGGGGAAUAUUGGACAAUGGGCGCAAGCCUGAUCCAGCCAUGCCGCGUGAGUGAUGAAGGCCCUAGGGUUGUAAAGCUCUUUUGUGCGGGAAGAUAAAUGACGGUACCGCAAGAAUAAAGCCCCGGCUAACUUCGUGCCAGCAGCCGC
This 449-nucleotide ribosomal RNA is filed under the name uncultured bacterium. Its description in RNAcentral is "SSU rRNA". It matches the Rfam family "Bacterial small subunit ribosomal RNA", at positions 26 to 518 of the family's 1533-position model. The record is from RNAcentral.